GGCAUGGAUGGCCUGAUCCGGCUGAUCCGGAAUAUUGGGCCUUGAGCCUGUGAUUGGAUGCCGCCGGAGUAGCUGAAGAAGAAUUAACAGCUAGUGAACAAAAAGCUAGUCACUAAUUUCAUAAUUCCAUUUCGGAAGUGCGCAGCGAGAGAAGAAGGAAAUUCUUUAUUCAAAUUUCAAAGCAUGCUACCGCGCUCACGGCCCGGCUGGCCUGCCAGCGGUGGUGGGAAUUUUCCCGUUCCCUGGUCAAAGACUUGGGUGGACGCAACCAGAAGAAAUCGGUCGAGACCGAGGAGAACUGAGCAUAAGUCGGAGAUCAUAAAACCAAAACUAGAAUGAAUCGACUAGAAAGUUUGUUCCGUGGGCUUUCGUGAAUGGGGCUCAUGGCUUUCGAAGUCGAAAUCGCCCGGAAGA
Molecule: long non-coding RNA, 414 nt
Filed under: Populus tremula
Lineage: Eukaryota; Viridiplantae; Streptophyta; Magnoliopsida; Malpighiales; Salicaceae
Description: long non-coding RNA (PTRE_LNC000250)
Source: RNAcentral